UCCGGUUUGUCACCGGCAGUCAUCCUAGAGUGCCCACCCAAAGUGCUGGCAACUAAGAUCAAGGGUUGCGCUCGUUGCGGGACUUAACCCAACAUCUCACGACACGAGCUGACGACAACCAUGCACCACCUGUCUCCUUUGUCCCGAAGGAAAGGUACAUCUCUGCACCGGUCAAAGGGAUGUCAAGACCUGGUAAGGUUCUUCGCGUUGCUUCGAAUUAAACCACAUACUCCACUGCUUGUGCGGGUCCCCGUCAAUUCCUUUGAGUUUCAGUCUUGCGACCGUACUCCCCAGGCGGAAUGCUUAAAGCGUUAGCUGCGCCACUGACGAGCAAGCUCGCCAACGGCUAGCAUUCAUCGUUUACGGCGUGGACUAC
RNAcentral lists this unclassified non-coding RNA (376 nucleotides) under uncultured Paenibacillaceae bacterium. RNAcentral's name for it is "contains 16S-23S intergenic spacer region". Lineage: Bacteria; Bacillati; Bacillota; Bacilli; Caryophanales; Paenibacillaceae. The record is from RNAcentral.